CUCGUAGGCCGCUCUGUAAGUCGGAAGUGAAAGACCACGGCUCAACCGUGGAACCGCUUUCGAAACUGCGGAGCUUGAGGCCGGGAGAGGAGAUUGGAAUUCCUGGUGUAGCGGUGAAAUGCGUAGAUAUCAGGAGGAACACCCGUGGCGAAGGCGAAUCUCUGGACCGGUUCUGACGCUGAUGAGCGAAAGUGGAGGGCGAACAA
This 206-nucleotide ribosomal RNA is filed under the name uncultured bacterium. Its description in RNAcentral is "partial 16S ribosomal RNA". It matches the Rfam family "Bacterial small subunit ribosomal RNA", at positions 568 to 775 of the family's 1533-position model. The record is from RNAcentral.